AUCCUGGCCGUAAACGAUGGGUACUAGGUGUUGGGGGUAUCGACCCCUCCAGUGCCGGAGUUAACGCAAUAAGUACCCCGCCUGGGGAGUACGGCCGCAAGGUUGAAACUCAAAGGAAUUGACGGGGGCCCGCACAAGCGGUGGAGUAUGUGGUUUAAUUCGACGCAACGCGAAGAACCUUACCAGGACUUGACAUCGUAUGAUGAUCCUAGAGAUAGGAAGUUCUCUUUCGGGAGACAUAUAGACAGGUGGUGCAUGGCUGUCGU
Molecule: ribosomal RNA, 266 nt
Filed under: uncultured bacterium
Lineage: Bacteria
Description: partial 16S ribosomal RNA
Rfam family: Bacterial small subunit ribosomal RNA
Source: RNAcentral